This 148-nucleotide non-coding RNA is filed under the name Nomascus leucogenys (northern white-cheeked gibbon). The record is from Rfam by way of RNAcentral. Lineage: Eukaryota; Metazoa; Chordata; Mammalia; Primates; Hylobatidae.
GCUGGGCGUGGUGGUGCAUGCCUGUAAUCCCAGCUACUCGGGAGGCUGAGGCAAGAGAAUCGAUUGAACCCAGGAGCCUGAGGCUGCAGUGAGUUCAGAUUGUGCCACUGCCCUCCAGCCUGGGUGACAAAGUGAGACUCUGUUUCAA